UACGUAGGGUGCAAGCGUUAAUCGGAAUUACUGGGCGUAAAGCGUGCGCAGGCGGCUAUGCAAGACAGAUGUGAAAUCCCCGGGCUCAACCUGGGAACUGCAUUUGUGACUGCAUAGCUAGAGUACGGUAGAGGGGGAUGGAAUUCCGCGUGUAGCAGUGAAAUGCGUAGAUAUGCGGAGGAACACCGAUGGCGAAGGCAAUCCCCUGGACCUGUACUGACGCUCCAUGCACGAAAGGCGUGGGGAGCAAACAGG
Molecule: ribosomal RNA, 255 nt
Filed under: uncultured bacterium
Lineage: Bacteria
Description: partial 16S ribosomal RNA
Rfam family: Bacterial small subunit ribosomal RNA
Source: RNAcentral